AUUGAACGCUGGCGGCAUGCUUUACACAUGCAAGUCGAACGGUAACAGGCCGCAAGGUGCUGACGAGUGGCGAACGGGUGAGUAAUGCAUCGGAACGUGCCCAGUCGUGGGGGAUAACUACUCGAAAGAGUAGCUAAUACCGCAUACGAUCUAUGGAUGAAAGCGGGGGACCGUAAGGCCUCGCGCGAUUGGAGCGGCCGAUGUCAGAUUAGGUAGUUGGUGGGGAAAGGCUCACCAAGCCAACGAUCUGUAGCUGGUCUGAGAGGACGACCAGCCACACUGGGACUGAGACACGGCCCAGACUCCUACGGGAGGCAGCAGUGGGGAAUUUUGGACAAUGGGCGCAAGCCUGAUCCAGCAAUGCCGCGUGCAGGAAGAAGGCCUUCGGGUUGUAAACUGCUUUUGUACGGAACGAAACGGCUCUGGUUAAUACCCGGGGCUAAUGACGGUACCGUAAGAAUAAGCACCGGCUAACUACGUG
This 481-nucleotide ribosomal RNA is filed under the name uncultured bacterium. Its description in RNAcentral is "partial 16S ribosomal RNA". It matches the Rfam family "Bacterial small subunit ribosomal RNA", at positions 30 to 507 of the family's 1533-position model. The record is from RNAcentral.